UUUCCGUAGGUGAACCUGCGGAAGGAUCAUUAAAGAAUUUCAAGAGUGCACUUCAUUGUGGCUCUACAUUUUCUACUAUUUACCCUAGUGCACUGUAAUACCUUUUUUAUUAGACUCUAUAAAGUUAUUUAAUGUAACACUCUUUAAUAAAGAAAUAAAACUUUUAACAACGGAUCUCUUGGCUCUC
RNAcentral lists this unclassified non-coding RNA (187 nucleotides) under plant metagenome. RNAcentral describes it as "partial contains small subunit ribosomal RNA, internal transcribed spacer 1, and 5.8S ribosomal RNA". The record is from RNAcentral.